Molecule: ribosomal RNA, 210 nt
Filed under: uncultured bacterium
Lineage: Bacteria
Description: partial 16S ribosomal RNA
Rfam family: Bacterial small subunit ribosomal RNA
Source: RNAcentral
UACGAAGGGGGCUAGCGUUGUUCGGAUUUACUGGGCGUAAAGCGCACGUAGGCGGAUCGUUAAGUUAGGGGUGAAAUCCUGGAGCUCAACUCCAGAACUGCCUCUAAUACUGGCGAUCUAGAGUCCGGAAGAGGUGAGUGGAACUCCUAGUGUAGAGGUGGAAUUCGUAGAUAUUAGGAAGAACACCAGUGGCGAAGGCGGCCUCACUGG